GGGUUGUGAGGUUAAGCGACUAAGCGUACACGGUGGAUGCCCUGGCAGUCAGAGGCGAUGAAGGGCGUGCUAAUCUGCGAUAAGCGCCGGUAAGGUGAUAUGAACCGUUAUAACCGGCGAUACCCGAAUGGGGAAACCCAGUGUGACUCGUCACACUAUCAUUAACUGAAUCCAUAGGUUAAUGAGGCGAACCGGGGGAACUGAAACAUCUAAGUACCCCGAGGAAAAGAAAUCAACCGAGAUUCCCCCAGUAGCGGCGAGCGAACGGGGAGGAGCCCAGAGCCUGAAUCAGCAUGUGUGUUAGUGGAAGCGUCUGGAAAGACGCGCGAUACAGGGUGACAGCCCCGUACACAAAAGCGCAUGUGUUGUGAGCUCGAUGAGUAGGGCGGGACACGUGGUAUCCUGUCUGAAUAUGGGGGGACCAUCCUCCAAGGCUAAAUACUCCUGACUGACCGAUAGUGAACCAGUACCGUGAGGGAAAGGCGAAAAGAACCCCGGCGAGGGGAGUGAAAAAGAACCUGAAACCGUGUACGUACAAGCAGUGGGAGCACAGGUUUACCUGUGUGACUGCGUACCUUUUGUAUAAUGGGUCAGCGACUUAUAUUCUGUAGCAAGGUUAACCGAAUAGGGGAGCCGGAGGGAAACCGAGUCUUAAUUGGGCGUUAAGUUGCAGGGUAUAGACCCGAAACCCGGUGAUCUAGCCAUGGGCAGGUUGAAGGUUGGGUAACACUAACUGGAGGACCGAACCGACUAAUGUUGAAAAAUUAGCGGAUGACCUGUGGCUGGGGGUGAAAGGCCAAUCAAACCGGGAGAUAGCUGGUUCUCCCCGAAAGCUAUUUAGGUAGCGCCUCGUGAACUCAUCUCCGGGGGUAGAGCACUGUUUCGGCUAGGGGGCCAUCCCGGCUUACCAACCCGAUGCAAACUGCGAAUACCGGAGAAUGUUAUCACGGGAGACACACGGCGGGUGCUAACGUCCGUCGUGAAGAGGGAAACAACCCAGACCGCCAGCUAAGGUCCCAAAGUCAUGGUUAAGUGGGAAACGAUGUGGGAAGGCCCAGACAGCCAGGAUGUUGGCUUAGAAGCAGCCAUCAUUUAAAGAAAGCGUAAUAGCUCACUGGUCGAGUCGGCCUGCGCGGAAGAUGUAACGGGGCUAAACCAUGCACCGAAGCUGCGGCAGCGACACUCAGGUGUUGUUGGGUAGGGGAGCGUUCUGUAAGCCUGUGAAGGUGUGUCGUGAGGCAUGCUGGAGGUAUCAGAAGUGCGAAUGCUGACAUAAGUAACGAUAAAGCGGGUGA
Molecule: ribosomal RNA, 1295 nt
Filed under: Salmonella enterica
Lineage: Bacteria; Pseudomonadati; Pseudomonadota; Gammaproteobacteria; Enterobacterales; Enterobacteriaceae
Description: partial 23S ribosomal RNA
Rfam family: Bacterial large subunit ribosomal RNA
Source: RNAcentral